GGGCCCGCACAAGCGGAGGAACAUGUGGUUUAAUUCGAUGAUACGCGAGGAACCUUACCCGGGCUUGAAAUGCAGAUGAUCGAAGUGGAGACACUUUUUCCAGUAAUGGCAUCUGUGUAGGUGCUGCAUGGUUGUCGUCAGCUCGUGCCGUGAGGUGUCGGCUUAAGUGCCAUAACGAGCGCAACCCUCAUUACUAGUUACCAUCAGGUAGAGCUGGGGACUCUAGUGAGACUGCCGGCGUAAGCUGUGAGGAAGGUGGGGAUGACGUCAAAUCAGCACGGCCCUUAUGUCCGGGGCGACACACGUGUUACAAUGGGGAGUACAGCGGGAUGCUACCUGGCGACAGGAUGCCAAUCUUUUAAAACUCUUCUCAGUUCGGAUCGGAGUCUGCAACUCGACUUCGUGAAGCUGGAUUCGCUAGUAAUCGCGCAUCAGCCACGGCGCGGUGAAUACGUUCCCGGGCCUU
RNAcentral lists this ribosomal RNA (466 nucleotides) under uncultured bacterium. RNAcentral's name for it is "bacterial SSU rRNA". It matches the Rfam family "Bacterial small subunit ribosomal RNA", at positions 917 to 1382 of the family's 1533-position model. The record is from RNAcentral.